This 688-nucleotide long non-coding RNA is filed under the name Marmota monax (woodchuck). Lineage: Eukaryota; Metazoa; Chordata; Mammalia; Rodentia; Sciuridae. The record is from RNAcentral.
GGUCAACAUGGGGUUUCUGAACUCGAGACUCUAGGUCCAUCGGCCCUAAGUGCAUGGGAGCACUGUGCAGGCUCAAGGGUGAAAUAACUUGCCCAAAGUCUCACGGCCACUAAAGAGUGGUGCCUAGGGCUGUGGUCUGUGUCUCCACAAAGGUCUCCAGGGUGGAUGUUGGGAGGUGGGGCCUAGUGGAGCUUCUGUGGUUGCUGGGGGCAAGAUGCAGUUUGCAGAGAGAUUGUUACAAAGGAGCAGUCCUGGUUCCCCUGCUGCCUGCUCCUGACUCAAGUGUGCGCCUUCCUCUGUGUGCAUUCCCGCCAUAAUAAUGUCACCCACCGUUCUGAUCUUAGACUUCAGAUACCCAAAACUGUAAGCUAAAUGAAACCUGUUUUCCCCACACAUGGCUUGCCUUGGGUAUCUCCUCACAGUGACAAAAAGCAGACUCAUUGACAUUAUCACCGAGGACUCUGUCUCUAGGCUCACAGUGUUCACCACACCAAGCUCCCUGGGCCACCCUACCCCUGCUCCUGGCAUUUUUUCCUACCCCUUCACCCCAUCAAGGGAGACAGCAGGACCGUAAAUGGCAAGAUUUCUCCUGCCUUCAUAUCUCUUACUGGCAUUAUGAAUGCUAAGAGAAGCCCUUGAGGUUUUGAAGGAAGGGCACAGUAUAAUGUGAGGAUUGGCUUCAUGAUGG